GGGGAUGUGGCUCAAUUGGUAGAGUGCCUGUCUAGCAUGCACAAAGCCCUGAAUUCAACUUCUAGCAUCCCAU
This 73-nucleotide transfer RNA is filed under the name Cricetulus griseus (Chinese hamster). It matches the Rfam family "tRNA". Rfam says of the family: Transfer RNA (tRNA) molecules are approximately 80 nucleotides in length. Lineage: Eukaryota; Metazoa; Chordata; Mammalia; Rodentia; Cricetidae. The record is from Rfam by way of RNAcentral.